CUGCUUGGUUAACUUCUUUCUGGUUGCAUUGAGAAUUUGGAAUAGUCAUGUAAUCUAAUGAUUUUGAUCCUAAUAAUAGCUCCUUUUCGUUUUUUUUUUAAUUUGGGGUUCUUUUUAUGAGAAACUAUUUGCAUGUUUGCUUCUUUAGAUUAUGUUACUGUUCUUUGGAUGAUCAAAAUUCCUACAUCAAGAAGUUUACUCAAUCCCAAGCUGUUUUCUUGGAAGCUACGCUUGUGAUGUUGCUUUCUUGGCUUGUUUUUUGCUUCUUUUUGAGGUUUAUGAAGCUUGGUGAUGGAAGAAAUGUUUGGUUUAAGAUUAGGUGGUGGAUUAGUCGUUUGAAUGUUUGCUUUGCUACUAGGCAUUGGCUGGAUGAUCAAAAAUUGGUUGUGAAACGGAAAACAGAACUCGGUGGAACUUUCUCGAUUGCUAGUUGGAUACUUUUCACUGGGCUGUUUGCUGUGUUGCUUUACCAACUCAUCGCAAAGAGAACCAUUGAAGUACAUAACGUGAAAGCGACAAAUGCGCCUGACCUAGCUUCCUUCAGGAAUGACGUUGAAUUUAACAUGACCGCUGUUUCUAGUAUGAGUUGCUCGAAUUUACGGAGUCCUACUACUUUACUUUCCGGAAGUUCCAGUUUCCUUGAAGACAAAUUUCUCCCUAUUUCGGAUAUUCUCAAUGUUUCAUGUCAUAACACAAGUUUAGGGCCAACUAUAACUCUCAAGUGCAGCAAUUGUCGACUCAAUCAAGAUUUUAUGUCCAUUUCAUGGCAAUUUUUCGAUCUUCCGAACAGCCCUGCAAGUGCUGUAGGUUUUCAGUUCAAUGUAACUGCAAAAGAUCAUAUUAGGAGGGAUCAUGUGAGUUUCGUUAGUGGAACAUUGAUGAAUGGAAGCAACUUUGAUAAUAGCCCGGUUACAUUCAGAGGGACAGACACAAACAUAUUGAUAUUCAAUUUGUUUCCCCGUAUAUACCGCAGUGCAAAAAAUCUGAGGCUAAUUCAACCUCUCUUUCAUGAAUUCGUCCCAGGGUCAUCUUUGCGUAACACUUCUCAGCUCCGAGCCUCACUUGAGAAUGCUAAUGAUGGAGUAAUCAACACUACGUUAUACGUCAACUAUCUUUCUUCCUACAUCAUUGAGACCGAAAAUCAAAAUAUAAUAGGUGCUGUGGGUUUCCUUGCCGAUCUUGGUGGGUUAUAUUGCAUUACUAUGGGGAUAUUUUUCUAUCUCUUGGUGCAAGUAGCUCAAAUUUGUGUUUAAUGGGUGUUGAGGUUGUUGACUCAGACCUGGCACAAUUGUCUAUUGACAAAGUGACUGAAGUAGACAAAUCAUUUCUUCAUGAAAAUGGGAAACUAGAUAAGGAUCCAGUUUAUAAUAACCCCAUUGAAGUUGAUUCACAUAGUGAGGAACCAGAUAAGGAAGAAGAGAAUGGUGCAUUUGAUCCCCACUUUCCGAAGGAUGUGGUCAACGAGUGGCCUGCACCUAAGCAGAUCCACUCUUUUCAUUUUAUUAGAAAAGGCAAAGAUUGAAGCUCAAAUCUUAGCUGCUGAAGCAGCAGCAAAAAUGGGCAGAGGUUGAGCUGAAAAAGCAACGGGAAAGAGAAGAGAAGCUGCUGGAAUUACAUUACAAAAGGCUAAGAAGUUAGCAUCACAAUAUCAAAAGGAAGCGGACAAAUGUAAUUCGGUAUGGACACGCAUGAAGAAGGAGAAAGUGAAGAAGCACUAUUGCCUCAAAUGAAAUUAACAGCAAUUUGGGAAAUAAGAGCUCGUCGAGAAAGGGUGGAGAGAAAAGGUCGCCAAAUCUAAUGCAUUUCCUUAUUUCAUUUAAGUAACUUUAUUAUAAUGUCUUAUUUUAUUCAUAUUUUUAUAUUUAAUCUAGUUUUAUUAUUUAUUUUAGUUUUGAUUCUAAAUUUUAUUUUUAUUUUAAUAUUUAAGAUAACUUGAGUU
This is an RNA transcript of Gossypium arboreum, 1939 nucleotides long. RefSeq lists it as uncharacterized. The transcript has 7 exons. The record is from RefSeq and is a predicted model, not a curated record. NCBI's taxonomy places the organism in Eukaryota, Viridiplantae, Streptophyta, Magnoliopsida, Malvales, Malvaceae.